AGCUAGGCUACUAUACCUUCGAAAGCACGGAGGUUUCCAUACUUUCAAGUUGUUUUCAAUAAUAAGACAUCCGAUUUAGCAAUCAACUUCAUUUGACAUAUUGUAACGCCCCAAUAGUCUCACAUCGGAUGGGAUACUGAUUCUGAUCAAUUUAUAUAAGACCUACUACAACAAAAUUAAGUUUUAAGUGAUUAUCUUUUAAAUUACUGGCAAUUAUAAUUGCCGCUAAAUGAUUCCGAGACAAUUAUGAUAAUUGUCGCUAUUGGUAGGGUUGGUAAAAAUUAUAGUGGCAUUUGUUCCGGCGGUUGGUAAAAGUCUAAAUAAAUGCUGCUAAAUACUAUAUAAUAACAACUAUUAUAAAUGUCACUAUAAUUAACUAUAAUUGCCACUAAAAAUAUACUAAAUGUUUGAUAAACAAAGUUUAUUGUGGCAAUUUCAUACUAAAAUAUUUGUUCCACAACUAAAUACUACAAUGAAUUAAAAUUUUAAAAAAUAGUAAUAACCAAAAAGUGUUACUAAUUUGUAUAAUAAAUAGUCUUCACUCUCAAAUUACAAUAUCAAUAUUCAAAUUAAAUUUCAGAGAUGAAUUCCAACAACAAAGUACUUGUUCGAAAUUUAACCAAAAAACAACAAAUUCUAAAUGACAGUAAACACUUAUAAUCUCGGAGAAAUCCCAAAUUAUAAAUCCUCAAAACUUAUUGCUCCACUUCGAAAGCUUAUUCAAGUUGAUGACAAGACCCAAAAAAUCUGUUUAAAAAGUAAUAUUUUUGCAAUUAGUGGUACAAAUAAGCAAUAUAAGUAAAUUCUCAUCAAAAGCAUCAAAUUUUUAAGUAGAUAUAGAUAGCAAUGUAUGUGUUACAUUUUGAUUGUAAGUUUCAAUCCUCACCAGGAGAGCUGAACUGUAACGACCCAGUACACUAGCAAUAAUAACUCGUUGGGCCCAGCUAACAGCCCAAAAUUCUUAAGCCCAGUUAUUAUUACUAGUGUCUAAGUCUCUUAUAAAUCCAAUGACAACCCCAUUGUAAUAUACCGAAACCUCGGUAGAGUAUAUCAAGCUUUUGUCGAAUCGACUAGAGUGUGCGAAAGAAAUAGUUGGACAAAGUCAAAUUAACAUUCCAACAAAGUUGGAAGGGUUAAAAGUAAGUUUAGAAGAGUUAAAAAGGUUUUAGCAAUGAUCGGAACGAAAUAGAAUCGAAAAGAUGCAAAAAUCUGAAAACUAGAGUUGUGUUACCGGUUUAACAUCAAAAGUGUACUGGUACAAGGCAGCUACCCGAGAGAGGUAGCUCUUGGGUUUGAGUAGAAAAAGGCUGUUGAACCGGUGACAGAAUUUCGUGUACCGGUACAGUGCACUGUGGACCGCAGGCAUAGUCUG
This 1372-nucleotide long non-coding RNA is filed under the name Ananas comosus (pineapple). RNAcentral's name for it is "long non-coding RNA (ACOM_LNC022104)". The record is from RNAcentral. Lineage: Eukaryota; Viridiplantae; Streptophyta; Magnoliopsida; Poales; Bromeliaceae.